CUGGACCCUGUAAUCCCAAGGGGACAUAAAGGCCAAUUUGCAGGAUGUCCACAGGAUAAUCACAAACUUCAUACCAUUUCCCCCAAAGCCCCUAGGGGAUUAGAUUUUCCUCCACUAUUGGAUGGGGUACUCCUACCCAGCCAGGGAGGAGGGGGUGCUCAAGACCCUCUGAGGGCUCUUCUGCCCCGAAUUCAAGUCAGUGAGAGAGAAGGUUAGCACCUAUUCUAAUCUGGUGCCAGAUACAUACGCACUGUACAGUGGAGGAUGGAGACAUGAAGGGAAAGAGGUCCCGUUAUACUCAGGGAGCCCAAGGGCUCAGCCCUCACUCCCAGUCUGGUCUGGUACCAGUACCCCUCCUCUCCCACUGGCACCAGCAUCUGUGCCCCAGGAUCAGUGCUUCACUCCCUCAGGACCCUCCCCCCACCCUCCUGCUUCCCAGAUGUGCUGGGUGCCAGGCUGGCAUUUCUCCUAGAAUGUUUUCUGCUGACCUAUCUCCCACUGCCUAGGGACAGGAAGGGCAGAGAGGCCUGAGGCCCAGACCCCUGGGGUCCACCUCCUUCCUGUUUUCCCUGCAUCCUGCUUUCCUCCGCUAACAAGCUGCAGAAGAUUGAGGAAGUGGAACGGUCUGGGACCCAGGGCAGGAAGCUUGGGGCCGGAGUCCCAGCAUCCGGACUGCAACAAUGGAAGCUUCAAGCACCAGGAAAAGAGACAGACACAGACAGAGGCACAGGGAGAGGAAAACAGAGUCAGAGAGGGAACAAGAAACAGGCAGAGAUACAGAAAAGCAGAGAGAGAGAUUGCCAAAGUAACAGAGAAAGACAGGAACAAAGACAGAAAGAGAAACAGUGACAGAGACACGGAGAGAAAGAGCAACAGAAAGGUGCUGAGGAGAAAGUGAGAGAAACAGGACAACAGAAAGGGAACAAGAUAGAGAAAGAGAAACUGGUAACAGGCGGAAGACAUUGAGGAAAGGAGAACUCAGGAAUGUUGGUAGUGAAACUAGAGAUUGAGAGACGUAGCAGGAAAUAACAAAAGAGUAAGAAAGAACGAAAGACUGAGAAAGAUUAUAAGGAGAAACUGAGAGGUUCACUGAAAAAUGGAAAAAGAGAAAGUGUAAGGGCCUUCUAAACCUCUCCCUCUCCCUCUCUCCCCGCUCUUGCUCUCCCCCUCCCCCUCUCCCUCUCUCUCUCCUUUCUCUACUCCCUAUUCCACACCGUUAGGUUUCUACAGCUCUGGGCUGGGAGCCAAGACUUGCUUCUCUUCUGCCACCUCAGAUGACACCUGCCAGGAGACAGGAGCAGGGUGCCUAUACCAGUGCAGGAUGAGGUGCCCAGGCCUGGCAGAGAGACCUCUGUCUUCCCAAUACCUCUCAAACAGCAAGAAGGAAGCGGAGCAGUUUGGAAGCCGUGGCAGGCGCCGAGAGCGCCUCUGAACCGGAGCCUGGGAGGGGAGAGAAAGAAGAGGAGACGCCAAGGGGCUGCUCUUUGGCCCCCUCCCUCGACCUUGGAGGAUUCCUCCCCUACCCCGCCGAGGCGGCUGCAGCCCCACCCCACCCCCCACCCUCCAAGAACACGACCAUCUAGCCCGGACUCCCGACUCCGCGGAUUCAGUCUCCUGGGCCAGAGUCCUUUCCACCCCACCCUAGUGCUUCCAGUCCCAGCCACUGGAGACCAAGUCGGGUGAAGUGGGAAAAAGGAAGCAAGCACCCAACGAGAGACCCAGAAGGGCCUGAUGGCCCUAAGAAGUUAGUAGGCUCUCUUCCACUCGCUCUUCCAACUCCCCCCCCCCCCGCCCCCCGCGCGCGCCCUAUCUCCCCAGGGCUCAUCUGGGUCCUGGUCCACUCUGCCGUCCUGAGAACUGAAUCCACCGAACUCCCGGAGAAGGAGGUGCCCAGCCUCUUCUUCCUUCCUGGAUGUUUACUUCUACUGCCCGACUCCCUCCCCAGAGGAGGAUUGGCUAGGGAGAUUGCCACUCUCAGUGUGCAAAUUGUGCAUCGCACAACUCCAGGGGGCACCAUUUCUCUUGUGGUCAUUGUAGGUUUGUGUAGUUGUUAUGACAGUUUUCCAGCAGAUGGCAGUCAAGCAUUUUGAGGGAGGGUUGCCUUCUCCUAAUUCAGCUAGUGUUGCUAUUUGGCUAGUGCGUGGGGCCGACUAGGCCCUCUGUGAGAUCCUAUUGGUGCCUGUUUCCCCGACCCUUGCCUCAGUCCUGCUGGGAUCCGGAGAGACCCUAGAGUAAUAUUUGAGCAGAGACCCGCCUCCUAGAUUCUCUCUCUGGUCUCCCAGUACUCACCCAUCCUCGCCCACAAAGGCUUCUGCCGUCCUAGAGCUGGUUUCAGGGUAAGAGUACCUGUCAGGGCACAAUCGGUGGCCCAGUGUGGAUUUUUUUUUUAAUCUUAUUUUAUUUAUUUAUUUAUUAUUUAUUUAUUUUUGGCUUGGCUUGGCUUGGCUUGGCUUAGCUUGGCUUAGCGUAGAAAGCAGCGAGGCAGCCAAGCCAAAGUGCAGAUCAGAGACCGUUUUCCUGCUUCCCGCUUCCUGCUUCCUUUCCCGGGGCAGCAGUUUUUCAUUUCAGUCUCACAGCAAUUAGGCCCUCUCCUACCUUCUCCAAGUGUAGACUGUCCAGGUGAUAGGAGGAAGAGAGGGGCUAGAAGCUGAACGUGUAGGGACAGAACCCAAAAGUUGCAAACUGACGGCACCUACUGGCAAUCAUCAAGACUGCAGAAGGUCUGAAGAGUUCUGGGGGGGGGGGGGGGGGGACAAGAUUCUGGGAUUCUCUCCCUGCCAUCUGUCUCACGGACAUACUGGAGUCUCUUCUUUCUUGGAACAGGGAAAACAGAGCCAGGUUCCUCACGUCCCUGGGGGAAGCCCAGCCUGUCCCUGAUUCAGAAAACUUCCCCCAGCCCUAUCCCCCUCCAUCAUCUUGAACCCGGUUCUGCCACCAACUUAUUGUAUGAAGUUGGACACCACUCCUUAGAGCUUGAAUGUCCCUAACUCUAAAAUAGAGGUAGGUCAUCUCCACCAAUCCUGCCUCUUAAGCUCUUAUGAGAGUAAAAUGGGACCAGAAAGGAUGGUUUUGAUACCAAUGCCAGACUUGCCCCGUAGACAGCAAACCUGGGAGAGGGAAAGGCCCUGGGACGUGGAGGAAGGAGUGCAGGAGAGGCUGGACUGAAAGCAAAAAAGUACCUGGAGGUGAAGCAUGAGUGCAGGUGUGGGAAAUCCAGAAAGGUUUCUAGGUGAGGCAGGUGCCCAGACCUCUACCCCAGCAUCCCCCAUUUAUUUGCUGGUGCCCACCCAGCCCCCAACAUCACUGUCUGGGAUAAUUCCAAGGAAGCAGGAAAAUAGAUACAAGUAGGCCAUCCAAGCACCUCCCCAUCAUUCACGCAACACCUGUUUACUGGACGCUGAUUGUGCGCGGGCUUUGUGCUACAUACCGAGGACACAGAGAUGGCCAAGAUCACUCUCUGCCCUCAAGGAGCUCACUGCCUAGUGAGGGGAGACAGGCAUAUAAAUAAAAUGAGCCUAAGAAUUGUGCAGGUGCCCCGGGAGACAUCCAUAUGGGGCACUGUGGGGACCCAGAUACACAAGUGGUCAGUUCUACAUCCAAGGCAUGGAAGAGCUUCACGGAGAAGGUGACUCAUGAGCCAACCAUCUUCCAUGCUGGAGGAAAAAGCACAGCCCAAGGCUUUACCGGAAAAGGAACCUCUGUGGGGCACCAGGCUGGCUCAGUUGGAAGAGCAUGCGACUCUUGACCUCAGAGUUGUGAGUUCCAGUCCCAUGCUGGAUUACUGAAAAAUAAAAUAAACUUUAAAAAAAGAAAAAAGACGGCACCUG
Zalophus californianus (California sea lion) is the source of this 3827-nucleotide long non-coding RNA. RefSeq lists it as uncharacterized. The record is from RefSeq and is a predicted model, not a curated record. NCBI's taxonomy places the organism in Eukaryota, Metazoa, Chordata, Mammalia, Carnivora, Otariidae. The transcript has 3 exons.